GGGCGUACAAUACGUCAGCGGCAGACGGGUGAGUAACGCGUGGGAACGUACCUUUUGGUUCGGAACAACACAGGGAAACUUGUGCUAAUACCGGAUAAGCCCUUACGGGGAAAGAUUUAUCGCCGAAAGAUCGGCCCGCGUCUGAUUAGCUAGUUGGUAGGGUAAUGGCCUACCAAGGCGACGAUCAGUAGCUGGUCUGANAGGAUGAUCAGCCACAUUGGGACUGAGACACGGCCCAAACUCCUACGGGAGGCAGCAGUGGGGAAUAUUGGACAAUGGGGGCAACCCUGAUCCAGCCAUGCCGCGUGAGUGAUGAAGGCCCUANGGUUGUAAAGCUCUUUUGUGCGGGAAGAUAAUGACGGUACCGCAAGAAUAAGCCCCGGCUAACUUCGUGCCAGCAGCCGCGGUAAUAC
This 413-nucleotide ribosomal RNA is filed under the name uncultured bacterium. RNAcentral's name for it is "bacterial SSU rRNA". It matches the Rfam family "Bacterial small subunit ribosomal RNA", at positions 78 to 526 of the family's 1533-position model. The record is from RNAcentral.